RNAcentral lists this long non-coding RNA (38478 nucleotides) under Phaseolus vulgaris (common bean). RNAcentral's name for it is "long non-coding RNA (PVUL_LNC001868)". Lineage: Eukaryota; Viridiplantae; Streptophyta; Magnoliopsida; Fabales; Fabaceae. The record is from RNAcentral.
AACAGCAGCAAAGCUCACACAAUCAUAAAAAACCCAAUGGCAAACCUAUUAAUAGCCCAGACAAAACCCUAGAAUUUCAAACGUUAUAAACAAUGUGGCACCAUUCAAAAAUAUGUCAUCUAACGGUCAAAAUAGCAAGUUCCUGUCAAGUCAUGUAAACUGAGCAAAAUAAAGCGCAGAAAUCAAAGCGUUCCAUAUCAAAUCAAAUCAAACGUCAAACAUUAUUAUAUUAUAUUAAGACACAAAUAUUUCUUUAAACUUAAAAUAAAAAUAUUUUUGUCUCGGGGGCUAGUGUACUGGUAGGCUAAAACCGAGAGGUUUAGGCCGAGAACAACAUUGAGUAAACGAGGGAAGAAGGUUGAAACCGAGAAUGAAAAAGAUAUAUGUUAAAGAAUAAAAUAAAAUAUAAAUAUUACUAUAAAAAUGAAACCCAAUUAAGUUUAAAACCCACAGGAGGAGUGUGUAAAUAAUAAAAAGGUGUAAAGAGAAAGUCCAACAGAAAAGGAGAAAAGCCCAUUAAGGAAACCCUAUAAAUAGAAGUUCAGAGUAAGAAAAAAGGUAAGAGUGAUUUUAUCUGAUGAACGUUAAACCUUUUCUGACUUUGGCAUCGGAGCGACUUGCAGGUACCCCCCACCUGUUGUGAGGAGAAGCCGAGAGCACCAGCCGAGAGGAGAAGCCGAGAGCACCAGCCGAGAGGAGAAGCCAAGAGUUUCCAUCAAGGAGAGAAGUACCCGACCCAAGAUAGUAUUCAGCCCAAGAUUGAAGGAUUAGUCUUGAUUAACCCAUUUCAAGUGUUCUUGGUCCUUAUUGUAAGAACAAUUUCAAUUCAUGAUUCCUCGUUACACAAAGUGUUUGUGGUUUGAGGACGAUGAAGGUCAAUUUUUUCGUUUGCAAUGUUUUAGGCUUCAGGAUACGCAUAUAUCACACUGAAAUCUUUAUGAUAAUACAGUUAAAUGUUUGGUGAUAACAUUGAAGAUAUGUUUAACAUGUUUUUUUUUAUUUUGAUUGGUGUCUAAAUUGAUAUGUAUGAAAUCUAUAAAAAAUAAUAAAAAUUAGAGAUGCCAGUGACAAAUCAAAUGAUUGAGUAGAAGAGAUGAAAGGUAAAGUUGGGAAGAACUUACUCAAGGUUACAAGUUUGUGAACUUUUAUGUAUCUUGGUAUAAAAAUUGAAAUAUUUCUAAAAUAGUUCUAUUAUUUUUUUAUAAAAAAAAGGGUUUAGGAUACACAAGAAGAACUUAACAAGUUUGAAGAGAACAUACUCUAUUUAAUUCUUCCAAUAAAAUAUUUUGUUCAAUCCGUAUGCACUAUUUUUUUAAUAAAAUAUUGUUAAUUUUGUACGUAAAUUUCGUAUGUAAAAUGCCAAUUAUUUUCCGUACGGACAAAUUUAUUUAUACCUAUAGAUCAAUUCCUUCAAAAUUAUUCAUGUGUCAUGGUGCUCAAUUUUCUACUAAUUUGUUCUACGGAUAUUGGGUGGAAAAUUAAUUUGUAUUUGCUUAUGAAUAAAUCAAUAGAUAGUUCAAAUUUAUACACAUAUUUAAAUCGGUACAUAAAUAUCCCCCAGGUAAACAAUAUAUUUUAUCUAUAGAUCCUAAUCUCUGUGUNNNNNNNNNNNNNNNNNNNNNNNNNNNNNNNNNNNNNNNNNNNNNNNNNNNNNNNNNNNNNNNNNNNNNNNNNNNNNNNNNNNNNNNNNNNNNNNNNNNNNNNNGUUAUGAUAUAUAUAUAUAUAUAUAUAUAUAUAUAUAUAAAUAUGAUAGAUUUUUAGUUGUAAUUAUUUUCUUUUUUCAGUUAUAACAUUAUAACCGUUAUAAGUUAUAACUAUUUUACUAUAACACAAAUAUUAAAUAAAAGUUAAGUUUAGAAACCAAAAUAAUUAGUUAUUUGACUAAAUUAGAUAACAUUUUAUAAAUUAAAAAAAUUAUUAAAUUUAAAAAAAAAAUUAUUAAUAAAAAUUUAUAAUUUUUUUUAAAAUUGGUAUCUAACUAUUAGCUACUUAUUACUUUAUAUUAUAAAUUAAUCUCUAUUAGUCUUUUAGAAACUAUUUUAAAAUCUAAAAUAUUAGUAACUAAAACUUAGUAGCUAAUUUAGAUAAAAAUUUAGAAAUUAUUUUAUAAUUUUUUAUUAAUAAUAGAAACCACUUUAGAUCUGAAUAAUUUUUUAGUCUCUAAAUUAAUAUCUAAUUUAGUUAAUAUAGUGACUAAUUAUUUUUUGUCUCUAAAUUUGGUUACUAUUUAAUGAUUUUCUUGUAGUGUUCAAUAAGUUAUAACUACUCUAUUGUAACUACUCUAUCAAUUUAUGAUAUUUCUUAUCUUUUAUAUUUUUGUGUGCUAUAUAAAUAUAAUUUUCAAUAAUGUAAGUGUGUAACAAUUCUUGAUUAAUAAAAUAUAUCAUUUUCUUUUUUCUCUUUUCUCUUCUUUCUCUAAAUGUUAUUUUUUAUGAAAAUCAUUUUCCUUUUUUAUAAGAGCAACAUAGAUGCCAAUUUUGACACACAUGAUAUGUUUAAGCAUUUACUUACUUCUAUUUCUGAUAAUGAUAUUGUUGUGCCUACGUUAGUGAUAUUCACUAGCACAAAAUCUAUAAACAACGACUAUUUAUUUAAUGUGGUUUUAGGUUAGUCGCUGUCAUUCAAAACGCGGUGGUAUUUUUGAAAUUAAUUUCAUUUACGAAUGCGGUUAUUUAAAUAGCCACAUUCUUAAAUCAAAACGCAUGAUUUACGAAUGCGGCUAUUAUAAAUAGCCGCAUUCUUAAAUAUUUUUUACCCUAAUUUUGAAGCGCGCCACUUACACUUUCAUACUUUCUUUCUUUUUGGCGCUUCGCGUUUUCUCUUUGUUUCUGCUAUGGUGUUCCUCCCUUCUUCUACGAGUUUCAUUGUGUUCUCGUACAAUUGUAAGUUCAUUUCGAUUCGUUCUCUUUCUUCUUCACCAAUGGUUUAUAAAUUUUUUUCGUUUCACUUAUUUGUUUGUUUUCUUGCAUUGGCGAAGGGUUCCCUGACGCUUCAUUUUCUAUUUUGUUUCUGCUUUUGUGCUUCCUCUCGUUUUCUACGAGCCUUCAUUGUCUUCUUUGUGCCAUUGUAAGUUCGUUUCGAGUUCUCUUUCUUCUUAACCAUUGGUUUAUAUAUAUUUUUUCUGUUUCUCUUAUCUAUUUGUUUUCUUGUAUUGACGAAGGUCACCCUGCUUCAUUGCCUGCUGUUUGGGUUAUUGUUAUGUCGUAUUUGCUCCGUUGUUAUUGCUGCCUUAGGGUUUAGAGUUUUAUUUUUUUUAAAAAAUAAUUAAAUAAGAAUGCGGCUAUUUACCAUAGCCGCAUUUAUAAAUCGCAUUUACGAAUGCGGUUAAAUAGCCGCACUCUUAAAUCUCCAAUUUAAGAAUGCGUGCUGAUAAAGUGCGGCUAUAUAGCCGUUCUUAUAAAUGUAAAAUAGCCGCAUUUGUUUUGUCUUUCUGCACUAGUGAUUGUUUCUUCAGUUUCUGAAAUUGUAUUACCAUCCAAUCUUCCUGCUACCUACUACUGAUUCUUCUACAUCAUUGAAUUUAAUUGAUACUGAUGUCUCACAACACCAACAUUAUGAUCCACAACAACAUUCUAAUCCACAACCUUCAUCUGUUCGAUUUUCUACUCGUCUCAAACAACAACUUGGAUACUAUCAUUUAAAGAGGUGAUACAACAUGAUUGUUGGAAAGAAGUUAUGCAACGUGAACUUGAUGCUCUUGAGUCUAAUGAAACAUGGUCUUUGAUGGAUUUGCCUAUUGGAAGGCGUCCAAUUGGGUGUAAAUGGGUUUUCAAAACCAAACAUAAACUAGACGACACCAUUGAUAGGUACAAGGCUCAUUUGGUUGCCAAAGGAUAUACUCAAACCGAAGGUAUUUAGUACUUUGAGACUUUCUCUCCGGUAGUUAAAAUUACUACCAUUCGAUUUAUUUUGUCUUUAGCAAGUGCUAAAGGAUGGAUUCUUCAUCAUCUAGAUGUGAAUAAUGUUUUUCUUCAUGGUGAUCUUGUUGUGGGCCUUACUCUUUCUCAUCCAACGGAAGUUUGUAAACAUAGAAAAUCUUUAUAUGAACUAAAGCAGGCGAGUCGACAAUGGAACUCAAAACUAACUUAGACUAUAAUACAACUUGGUUAUGUUCAAAGUACAAUUGAUCAUUCUUUAUUUAUUCGCAGAGACAAUCAUUCUUUCACCGCUCUGUUGAUAUAUGUUAUAUGUUGAUGACAUUAUGUUGGUUGGCAAUAAUCUUCAGGAAAUCCAGUGUGUUAAAACACAUCUUCAUGACUCAUUUAGUAUCAAAGACCUUGGUACUCUUCGUUAUUUCUUGAUAUUUGAGAUAAGUUGUUCACCUUCUGGUAUUGUUUUCAAUCAACGGAAAUAUUGUUUAGAUCUUAUUUCUUAUAGUGGUUGAUUGGCUUGCAAACCUGCCUCUUCUUCCAUGGAACCAUCUUAUCCUCUCUCUGAAAGUGAAGGUUCAUUACUUUUGAAUCCAAGUGAAUACAGAAGAUUGAUUGGGCGUUUGUUAUCACUAGAGAGGAUAAUGAAAUGUUGGUUGGAGCUAUAUCUGAAGCUGAAGUAAAGGAGGCAGUUUGGAAUUGUGACAACUCUAAAAGUCCUGGUCCGGAUGGGUUUAAUUUUGGUUUUUUAAAAUUUUGUUGGGAUAUUAUAAAAGGAGAUGUGAUGAAUACGGUACAAAGUUUUGCAGAGGGUGGAAGUUGGCCGAAAGGUACUAAUGCUUCCUUUUUUAGUCUUGUCCCAAAGGUUAUAAAUCCACAACUUUUGAAUGACUUUAGACCGAUUUCAUUGGUGGGAUGUGUGUAUAAAAUUGUAUCUAAAAUUCUCUCUUCAAGGUUGAAAAUGGUGUUGGAUAAAGUUAUUGACCCUAGGCAGUCUGCUUUUCUGGAAGGAAGGGGUUUGUUGGAUAGUGUGUUAGUUGCUAAUGAGACCCUUGAGGAGGUAAAGAGGAAUAAGAAGGAAUGUGUGGUGUUUAAGGUGGAUUAUGAAAAUGUUUAUGACUUAGUAAGUUGAGAGUUUAUUUACUACAUGCUAAGAAGAUUGAGAUUUUGUGGAAAGUGGAUUGAAUGGAUUCAAAACUGCUUAGAAUAUUCCUCGAUAUUUGUGCUGGUAAAUGGAAGUCCAACAACUGAGUUCAAACCAAUGAAGGGUCUAAGACAAGGGGACCCUUUAACACCCUUUCUUUUUCUCAUUGCGGCUGAAGGACUUGCAGGGGUAGUUAGACAAACAAAAGAAAAGAUGUUAGUAAAGAGUAUUGAGGUCAGGGAAGGGCGAGUAAAAGUGAGUAUGCUGCAAUAUGCAGACGACACCUUAUUUUUUUUGUAAAGCUUCAAUUCAAAGUGUUUGGAUCUUAAAAGCAAUUCUGAAGUGCUUUGAACUUGCCUCUGGUCUUAAGGUUAAUUAUUCCAAGAGUAAGGUUGGUGGAGUGAGUGUGAACAUCAAUCAGACGAUGAUUUUUGCCUCUAUUAUUAACUGUGAUAUUAUAAAGGCACCUUUUAGUUAUUCGGGGGUGACGGUGGGCGGGAAUCAUAAGAGGUAUGCUUUUUGGGAAGGGGUGCUCAAUAAGUUACGAAGUAGGCUGUGCUCUUGGAAAGGGAAAUCCCUCUCUUUGGCUGGCAAAGUAUGUCUUAUCAAAUCGAUGUUUUCAUCCUUACCAUUAUUUUGUGUCUCCUUAUUUUGUAUGCUGGCUACUGUGGUGAAGGAAGUGAAAAGAAUACAAAAGAGAUUUUUAUGGGAGUGGGGCUCAGAGAACAGGAAAACUGCUUGGGUGGCAUGGCAUAAGGUUUGUGAGUCCAAAGACAAAGGUGGAUUAGGAGUAAUUGAUAAAAGGAAAUUUAACUUGGCUCUUAUAGGGAAAUGGAUUUGGUGACUUAAGUCUGAAAAGAGAAGUUUAUGGAAGAAUAUUAUAGAUUCUAAGUAUGGUGGGUGGAAGGGGUUAAGGUCGCAAGUUCAUAACUGUAAGGAAUCGCUAUGGUAGAGGGACAUUAGGAAUUUUUGGAAUUUAGAGGAGUGGGGCAAUGACUUUGAAGAUAAAGGUAGGUGGGAAGUAGGGGAUGGAAAAUAAAUUAGGUUAUGGGAGGAUAAGUGGGUGGACAAUGUUUCUUUAAUGCAUAAAUUCCCUAUACUUUUUUCGAUAUCCUUAGAUAUUGAUCGCACUCUAUCAUAAGUUGGGGUUUGGAGUAAUAAUAGUUGGUCGUGGGAAUUGAGUUUGAGAAGGAAUCUCUUUGUGUGAGAAUCUAGUCUGGCUGACCUUUUAUUGGAGGGGUUGGAUAACAAGAGGUUAACAAGAGAGGGUGAAAAUACGACUGAUAAAUGGAUUUGGAGGGAUGUAGAAUCUACGAACUUCUCUGUGAAGGCAACCUAUAAUAUUCUCCUGGGGGAGGAGGCUACAGGAUCUGGGGAACCUUUGUGGAGUUCUGGACAUUAAAGACUUUGCCAUCAUCACAUUUUACGGCUUGAAGGGUGUUAUGUAAUGCGAUUGUCACUAAGGACAAUCUCUUGAGACGUGGUAUACCUAUGGCGUGUGUUUGAUGCCCCUUAUAUGGGGUGGAAGAAGAGACGGUAAGGCUUCUAUUUUUUUAUUGUAGGGUUUCUUGGAGAAUUUGGGGAAUGUGUCUUGAGUGGUUGGGAUCUUCUUUGGAUCUACAUUGUGAUGCACAAAUGCAUUUUAAGAUGUUUAAACCUAUAGGUUUGAAACAUGCUAUUAUUAGGUGUUGAGGGGUAUUUGGGUAGGUAUUGUAAGUGAAAUUUGGAACCACAGGAAUAAGGUUGUUUUUAGAAUGGAUGCGUAGAUUUAGUGGAGGUUUUUACGGUGGUACAAAGGAAGACUUGGUCUUGGGUCACGGUAAAGGAAAAAUUGGUUGAUUUCUCUUACUCAGACUGAUGUUUGGAACCUCAAUGUUGUAUACGGUAUUUGAAAGAUUGAUUUUUGGUGCUCCAUGGUUAAUUUUUUGGUUAAUGUUUUUGUCCAGGUUUGGAAGUUGUGGUGUGUUUUGCAGGUUUCUUGGUUUUUUCUAUCUAGUAGGUUCGGGUUGAUGGUUUUGCUCAAGGGUUACGGUAAAGGAAAGUGUAUUUGACUUAUUAUAUUCAGUUUGACGUUGGACUUUAUAUGGUGUAUGAGUUUUGAUAGAUUGAUGUGUGGAGUUUAUAACUUCUGUUCUGUCCAGACUGGGAAGUUGUAAGGUGCUUUGUGCAUGUCUUUUGGUUUAUGUAUCCUCCACGCAAGAUCGAUUUGUUGAUGUUGGCACUUGGUUAUUUGGAGCUCUUCACCCUGUUGUCAAAGAUCUUGUUUAGUAGUUAGAUUUUAUGUCCUAUUUGAGGGUGUAGUCUCUUUGGUGGAUUGAUGUAAUUGUAUUUGUUGGGAUUAUGUAUCUUGAUUUGGUAGGUUUAUGGUUAAUUUGUUGUAAUUUCUGGUGAUCCUUAGCUGGUUGGUACUAGGAAACUUGUUUUGUAUAAGGGCUGGAACACCCCUGAAAUGUCUCAUUUUAUUUUAUUUAUUCUUUGCUGAUAAAAAAAAAUAAAAAAAUUGAUGCCUCCAAUAUAGUAACAUUUAUAUUAGUAAGAAGGAUAGACUUUUAUCUCAUCUCAAUAGCUAAUAAUAAUGAAUGUACGCAUACAAUAUAAUAAUGACAUACAAAUUACUCAAAAGGAGCAGUAGAAAAUACUUUGGAUAAAGUAAUUAUUAUCUUGAUUUUAUUGUUGGCUUACAUAGCACUUUAUCAUAAGUUCUGUCGCUUACAACACACCCAAAAUAUUUAUUCACUAAACUUUGACAAGAAGAAAAAAAAAAGAAAAACAACAAAUUACACAAUCUCACGUUGGUAACAGAGAAUUUAUGGAACAUAAACAACAAUGGGGCUCCUUACCUGAUGGGUGCCAUCAUCCCAAGUCAAAGAAGAAGAAACCAAGUUUGCAUUAAUGGUUCCUUGAAUCCUAAGGGUGAAGGACAACCUCUGACCCACAAAUGUGAAGGUCAAAACAUUUGGCACUACUUGGAUGUUUAAAGAAGAUGGAUAUCUAGAUACUAUUGCCCUAUAUGUGGAUCUAGCUGAUCCAACAUUAGUGACAGUUCUACCAUAAGUGACAGUGUUGUUACUUGAGCGAGCGGUUGAUAGAGCAAAAGAUGGGAGGUUAAGGUUGAAAACAAAUCCUCUAUUUGCUGAUGUACAAGUAUUGUUAUCUCCUGUAAUGAUUUGCAGAUUUUGUGUAGUAUAACCUUGUCCACACAGAAAAUUAACAUAAUCCUUCGGACCAGCAUCAUAGACUAGUCCAGGAUUUAUUGCCUUCAAAGGAUUGAUUUGCCCCGCACCGUAAGCAAAUUCAGCACCCGGAUUAAGUGCAGGAUUCAGAGGGGUAGCUAUAAAUGAUAAACCAACAAAUUUGGUCGUAAACAUAUAUAUAUAUAUAUAUAUAUAUAUAUAUAUAUAUACUUGGCCAUUAAGAUAUACCACAAAAUAAUUGAACUUAAUCUAGUUUUUCCCAACACAAAUGUACAUUAGGUAGUAAUGCAUAAGGUUUUAGGUUAUCAUAUUUAAGAAAAUGAGUUACUCAUGAUCUCACAACAAAAAUAAAAGUUCCAUAUCUAUAUAUGUGUAAAUGAAAUCAUAUAUGUGUAUUCAAAUUAAAAACCCCAACAAUAACCUAAGUGAGGAAAGAAAAGAAAGAACUAGUCUUUUUAAAUUAACCAUGAAGGGUUCUUGAAUUGAGAGAUAAGAAAAGGGCAUAAAAUGAGUUUAGCAUGCAUGGAUGACAAGGAGACCAUUACCAGUUGUCAUCAAUGCGGAUUUAAGUACAGCAGGAGACCAACUGGGAUGAAAUGAUUUGACGUAAACAGCUGUUGCAGUAACAUGAGGGCAUGUCAUUGAAGUUCCAGAUAGUAUAUUGAAAUAAGAUAGUCUACUAUCUCCAUUAAUUCCAGAAAUAGGAGAAAUUGGAGAAUAUGCAGCCAGAAUGUCAACUCCUGGAGCUGCUAUAUCAGACUACACCAUCAAGAGAUAACUUAUAUAUAUAAGCAAAUGACCUUGAAUUGGUUGGAUUGAUUGUAUAUUGUACUAUGAAGUUUACCUUAAGAAUGUUUGGAGUGAUCUUAUUUGGACAUCUUGAUGAGAAAGGAGCAAUGUAAGGGGCUGAUGAGUCUAUUCCUUUGUAACUCUGGAAUAUGGUAGCUGUUGGAUUACUACAAAUCAGUAACAUGACAUAUAAAUUAGUUUAUUCAAGACUAAUUGAGCAAAUUUUUUUAGAACUUAUGUAUGAUCUUUAUGUGUUGAUGAAAACUUUUGUACCUUGUUGACUUUAAAUAAUUAAAGACGAAAUUCCCAUCUCUUGCACUAAUGUGAAUUGUUGGCAAUGCAUGUACAUCUGCGACAAGUAAAGGCGAUACACUGUUGAAUAUGACACCAGCAGCUCCAGAAGCAAAUCCCACAUAUGGAGGAGGAAGAUAGCCAUCACAGAAAACAAUUUUCCCUCUCACCAAAGCUCCAUUUAAAGAAUUAUAUUCGCACGUACUAAGCAAUGCUAAUGUUAGAAUGGAGUUUUGAAUUGUACAAUAGAAAGAUUAGAAACAAAUUACCAAAUAAUAAGGCAAAAUUACUUUUCCAAUUCCUUUAAUUAUUUAUAAAAUUUAAUUUUCUUUUCUCAAUAUAUUACAAGAAAAUAAUUAAAUAAAAAUUAAUUAAUUAUUAUAUUAACUAAAUUAUAUAUUAUUUUAAAAAUUAAAAAAAUAUAUAAAAUAAUUUUUAUUAUUUUUAAAUUGAUAUCUAAUUAACUAUCAAUAUAUUCUAAUAUACUAAUAAUAUAUUAGAAGAAUUAAUAAAGGUUUAUAAUUUUAUUAUAUUUAAAAAUCAAACUUGAAUUUUUUGAAAUUAAUGUUGGUACCUGGAUGUGGAACUAUUAAAUCCAGGAGCUGGUACAUCUCCACCAAAAACUAAAGGGUAACCAUUCUGUGUUGGACUAAAUGUAUUCACUGAAAUUCCCUGUAUAUGUUGAGACAAAUCUUUUGUUACUUUUUUAAUAUUUUAAAAAAUAAGUAAAAGAAUUGAAAGGGAUAAUUACCCGGAUGAUCUGGCCAUUGCCCAGUUUGAGAUCACUGAAAAACUUUCUGUCUAUAGUGGUGGCGGCCACAGAAAUGAGCCAGGGUGCAACAUUCGAGAUUGAAGCACGAACUGGACCCAAAUUGUCUGCAGUUUUAGAAGUUAAUAUGCCCCUCUUCAUUGCAUGGAAAGCUCCUAUUGCAAAUUCAUCGUCAAAAUAUUGCGGGUGUUUGAUGACUGUUGAUCCCACUGAAAUAGAAAUAAUAUCAACACCAUCCGCAAUGGCUGCAUCAAAUCCUGCAAGAAUGUCAACAGUAUUACAACCCGAUGUCCAACAAACUUUAUACACAGCAAUGCGUGCUGAUGGAACUCCUCCUCUUGUUGUUCCUAAGCCAAACCCAAACAGAUUUGCAUUGGGAACACGGUUUCCAGCAGCAAUGGAUGCACAAUGAGAUCCGUGACCACCAGUAUCAGUUGGAGAUAUGAUGUCCUGUGGCCUGAACUGACCCCCAAUGCGAAAAUAUCUUGCUCCAAUUACUUUGCUACAAACAAAUCAUGAAACAAACAUUAAUAGAUAAGUAAUUUAAUGGUUACUUUUAUCUUUUAAUAAUUAUUACUUUGAAAAUUUUAUUACUUAAGUUUAGGUGUAUAUGUUUACUAUUGAGGUGGAUGUUGUUCAAAUUUGACAUUUGACAUGAAAAAAUUUAAAAUGUGAGUUUAAAAAUUGAAACCAGACAUGUUGUUUAUGUAUAUAAGAAACAUUACUUACUUAUUGCAAGUGAAGUUAUAGCAUGUUCCCUUCCAUUUCUGUGGUGGUGGACCAAAGCCUCCACCAGUAAAGCUAUUGGCAUUAGAAAUCCAAAUUCCACUAUCGAUUACUCCAACAAUUGUGUUACUUUCUUCAUUUGCUCUUGGGACAUUUUCAGGGAAGUUAAGGAAGUUCCAGGACCUUGAUGUUUGGACAUUGUGGACUCUAUCUGGAAUAACAGACACCACACCAUCCAUUCCUGUCCAAAAAUUCCAUUUUUUCACAUUAGAGUUACACAUAUUAAUGUAGGAAUAUGACAAGAACCAAAACCAAAAAUAUAUUUAUGAAUAAAGCAAAAAAGUUGAUGAAAAUGUGGUCUGAGCUAAUAGACACAUAUGUACAAUUGGAAUAUUUCAAGUACUCUGUUUAUUAAUAUAUUUUAGUUCUUUUUUUAAAAAAAAAAAUUACCUUUCAUUCUCUCUGAUUCUUCCUUGGUUAGCCUUGCCACAAAUCCAUUAAAGCUCUUGUAACGGUGCAACAAAGUAUCUGAUGCAAAUUUGCUGGAUGGAUAUAUAUGUCAUAUGGAAUUUUAAUGGUUAGUUAAAAAAUUUCAUAUUCUUGAUUGAUAAUAGGUUUAAAAUAAAAGAAUUAUUCUCUUUUUAGAACAAUUUAUUACAUUAUUUUUUUUUCAGUCCUCCAAAAUAGCAUUUAAGUCAAACAAGAUUCUUUGUAUUUGAAAAUGUUAGACAAACAAUGUUAAGUGAGUUGAGUAGAAACGAUUAAGGCUUAUAUAUGAACCUGCCGAGGACAAUUUGAACCAUACUGGUGUGAAAUGAUUCUGUGAUUUCCAUGCCUUUGGAUAUUCUUCCAUGUAGACUAUGUAAGUCUGUAGUAUGAAUAAGAUAAAUUAAAAAAAUAAAAAAGAAAUUUAAAAUAAUAGUCCCACUUAGUGAAUUUCACAUGGAUGCUUAAACAUUGAAAAUAUUAUGAUGCAUAAAAUCAUUUUUAAGUUAAUUUGUUAUUUUGAAUAUAAUCCAAACCCUUCUUAACUUGAAAAGUAAUCUAAUAUUUUCUUUAAAAAAAUAUGUAUUAUUAGAUUUAUUUUAAAAAAUCAUAAAAGGAUAAAAACCUAAGAGUAAUUUAUGGAAAGAUAUAACUUCUCACAUAUAGAAGAAAGGUGAAAAUGGUGAAAAUUAGUUGAGGAAAAAAAUAAAGUACAAAGUGAAGUAUUAUAGAAAAGAGAUACCUCAAAUAUAUGUUUGCAAAAGUAUAUUUCUGUAAGUACAAAUAGUUUCAAUUGCUAGGUCAAACAAUAGUGAAUAUAUAUUAUUUACCUUUCGAUCAUCUUUAGAAAAUGAGGGAGUCAAGAGCAGAAUACAUGUAAGAAUUUGAAAAAGAUGCGACAAUUCUAAAGACUUCAUCUUUCGGUGACAGUAAUCUUGAUUAAAUGAUGAAUGCGUUUUCAAACUCUUUCAACCUGUGAAUAAAUUAUGUUAAGUAUGUAUUUGAAACUUAUGUUAAGUAUAUAUUUGAAACACAUACCACAAUGCUCAUAUACUAAAAUUUGAUAUUGGAAAUGGUAAAUAGAAGUAUAUAUACAUAAUAAAUAUAGAAUGAAAACAGUAACAAAGUAGAUUAGCAAGAAGAACAUCAUUUUAAUCUGCACAACAAAGUGGAUAGGGUAGCUUUACAAUGUACUUAAAAGGUUGAUUUUGUGAUUUUUUAUUUAUUUGUAGAUUACUGUUAUUUUAUCAAUUUUGUUCUCUGUAUGAGGGUUAGACCAUUCCUUAAGUGGACCAAUUUAAUUUAAUUGCUAAUUGUCGAUAAAAAAAUAUUAUUUUAUCAAUGGUGGUUGAAGUUGAAUUGGAUAGAUUGAUGAAUGUGUGCAAUCUAUUAUUUUCUUUGAAAAUUUGUUUUUAAAGCAUUUUAGUCAUAAAAUUUUAAACUACUCUAAAUUUUGUCCAGAAUUUCAUGUAUGUUAAAUUUCAAAUGACAUUAACAUUUCACCAUGAUUUUAAAUUAUUACUAAAUGGGGUCUUCAAUGCACCAUUUACAGUAAACUAUCACUACAAGAAAAUAAUGAAAUAGAAACCAAUUUUAGAUAUCAAAAUAAUUAGUUGCAAUAGUAACUAAAUUAUAGACCAUUUUAGAAACUAAAAAAAAAUUGGUUUCUAAAUUAGUUUAUAUUAUUGUUAAAUAGUUUCUUAAUUGGUAUCUAAUUAGUAACCAAUGUUUUUGCUACCAAAUUUAGAAACUAAAUAAUUGGUAGUUAAAUUUUUAUCUGUCACAUAUUAAGUUUUUGUUUUUUUUUUUUAUUUCUUGUUUUUGUAAUUAUCUUCAACUUACUCCCCAACACCAAAGUCACACAACCAUUUACCUUUUGAAAUUCAUCUAUUUCCAAAUCAUUGCAUUGUGAAAGUUAUAUAGUGAAAGUUAUAGGAUGAAUUCAAGUUAAUUAUUAUUUUCAAAGAAAAGUGUGCAUUGGCAAUGUUAAGGUGAUAGCUACACAAAAGAGUCUUUUGUUGUUUUAAUGUGACUGAGAGAAGAAGUUGUGUAGGAAGCCAAAAUAAGAGAGUUCCUCAUUGCUUCAUUCUCUGUAUAAGAUUAAUGUUUUAUAAAAAAAAUAUAAAUCAAUAAAUGAAUAGAAAUACACAAAUAAUUGAUUAAUUAUGCUGAAAAUAACUUUGUAUUAAUUAAUUUAAAUACUGAAUAAAUAAUAAAUAUAAAAAAGUAUGAUAAAUUCUACUCUUUUAGGUAACUCUUUCAAGUCAAAACACUUACUGAACCUAAUUGUAUGGUUUGAAAAAAAAAAUCAAAUACAAUGUGAUAAAGUUUGGUUUACUAUGGUUUAUAAUUCAGUGGGUUUUAAAUUUUUAAAUUGAGGUAUAAAUGAAACAAUAGAAAUAGAGCAUUGUUAUACAUAUAACGAGAGAACAGAAGCAAUAGAAAAAUAUUAGGAGAAAGAGCUAUAAAUGAAUAAUGGAAAUAGGAAUAGAGGAGAGACAUACUCAACUUAGUCGACCAUAUCUUCAGUAAAGGAUACCAAUACACACACUAUCUCACCUUUUAUAACCACUAGAUUCAAUGGCUUCAUGGUCCACGUUUCGCACAUUUAAUUUUCAAAUUUAAUUUUCAAGGAGAAAAAUUAAUUAACACAUGUAACUUUUUUUAACACAUGAAACAAGAAUUAUUCUGUACAACUCAAAUUUUAAUUAGAAAUAGCACUUAAUUAAAACAUUGAGAACUCGAAUUUAAGGUUUUUAAGACUAUCAAAUAUAGUAAUAAAAUUUGGUUUAAUAUUUUAAUAUUUAGUUAUUUUAAAUUUUAAGAAGUUGAUUUUAUUUAAAUAUUUUAUAAUUUGUUUUAAAUAAGGUUUUUCAUCCUCCACAUCUUAUUUGUAGACACACAUCUUCUUCAUCCACACUUUUCUCCUUUUUUUUUCAUUUAUAUUCAUCUACUUCAUCCAUGUUCAUUUCUUUCCCACCACUAAAAAAAAUAAAUUAUUUUAUAUUUUAUUUUGUUGAAGAUUGGAGGUGUUUUAUAAGAAAUUUGUUUGAAAUAUUAUCAUGUUGACCAAAUCGACUUAAUUUAAAUUAAUAUUAAAAUAAAAAAAUAUUAAAUUAAAUAAAUUUUAAAAUAAAAAACAUGAGUAUUGACUUGAUCCACAUUAAAUUAUUUUAACUAAAAAAAAAUCAAUUUAUAAUUUAAUACUAAAUUAUCAGUUUUUAAAUUUAGUCAAACCUAUAAUUGGUCUUAAAAAGCCAAUACUAAUAAAUUAUGGUUUUAGAGUCAUAGACAUAUUUAACCCAAAUUUAAUGAUAUUGAUUAAUUAAUAUCAGUAUUUAUUUGUCAGUAAUGAUUAACCAACAUUAAAUAUCAAUUUUGUUAUAGUACCGUUAAAUUUCUAUUUUCUUGUUGUAGUGCAUGAAUUUAAAUGAAAUAGUAAAUAUAUUCGCAACUUACUACUUAAUGUAACAUUGAAAAGGGAUUGGGAAAUGGACUAAAAUCAUACUGUAAAGAUGAAAUUUGCAAAUUACAUACUUUUUAAAAGAUUAGAACACCUCAAUUAUUCCCAUUUUGUUAUAAAUAUAUAUUGCUGAUAAAGAAUAGAUAAUGAGUUUUUUUAUUUAAAAAUACAAAAAAUCAAGAACCACAAAUGUCCCUCAAAACAAGGAUAAGAUGAGAGAAUGUCUGGGUAGAGUACGAGGAGGAGUAAACACUUAUCCAAACGAACUUUAUCAUAGUUUUUUCUUUUGGCCUUUUAUUUAGAAUUUUCUUGAAGAAAAUAACUUUUUUAUUGGGAAAAUAUCUACAUCUAAUUCUAAUUAAGCUGGAAAUAUAAAUACGGACAAAAAUAUUGACGCCAUUUAAUUAAGCUUCAGUUUUACUCAUUAAUCACGGACUUUCUCACAUAGGGUUUAGUUAUCAUGGUUGUAAGUCGCACGAUUGUUUUGUAGCGAACUUCAAUGAGCCCCAAACUUCAAUUGGGUUUCGCAACUUAACUUUGGCGCUCCUAAACGUGUUUUCAGCUUGUAAUUCCUACCAAUGUUCAAAUUGUGAUUUUAGUUCAUGAAUCUCCUUACAACAAUGACUUUCUCAUAUGUGACAAGAUUUCAAUUCAUGAUUCCUCCUAACACCAAAGUGUUUGAGGUUUGAGGAUGAUGGUCAAUUUUUUCGUUUACAUUGGGUUCAGGAUAACACAGUUGAAUAUUUGGUCAUAGAUAACAUUAAAGAUAUGCUUAACAUGUUUUUUUUUACUUUGAUUGGUGUUUAAAACCAUUGAUAUGUAUGAGAUCUAUAAAAAAUAAUAAAAGUUAGAAGUGCGAGUGACAAAACAUAUGGUUGUGUAGAAGAGAUGAAAGGUAAGGUUAAAAAGAACAAGCUUGCUCAGGGUUAGAUGUUUGUUUCAAGUUUGUGAACGUUUAUGUGUCCUGUAUAAAGAGUUGAGAUAUCUUAAAAUACUUUUAUUUUUUUUUAAAAAAAGUGUCAGUAUACUCAAGAAGAAACUUAGCAGGUUUUGAUGAGAACAUACUGUAUUUAAUUCUUCGAAUAAAAUAUUUUGUUCAAUCCGUAUGCACUAAUUUUUUAAUAAAAUAUUAUGUUAAUUUUGUACGUAAAUUUCGUAUGUAAAAUGCCAAUUAUUUUACGUACAGACAAAUUUAUUUAUACCUAUAGAUCAAUUCCUUCAAAAUUAUUCAUGUGUCAUGGUGCUCAAUUUUCUACUGAUUUGUUCUACGGAUAUUGGGUGGAAAAUUAAUUUGUAUUUGCUUAUGAAUAAAUCAGUAGAUAGUUCAAAUUUAUACACAUAUUUAAAUCGGUACAUAAAUAUCCCCAGGUAAACAACAUAUUUUAAAUCAUAUUUUAACUAGAUUAUUCAUAAAAAUAGUAGAUAAUAUACAAUUUCUUAUAGUGAUUAGUUCAACUAGAUUCUUGAUGCACAAGUGAACAAUUCUUUAUUAAACAUUUUAUUUUCCUUUUCUUCUUUAGAUGAUAUAUAUGAUCUCAUAUAUAUUGUAAAUUUUUAGUUGUAACUACUUUUUUCAGUUAUAACUUUAUAACUGAUCUAUGAGUUAUAACUGCUCUAUGAGUUAUAACUACUUCACUGCAAGAAAAUCAUUAAAUAAAAACUAAUUUUAGAGACCAAAAUAAUUAGUUACUAUUUGAUUAAAUUAGAUAACACUUUAUAAAUAAAUAAAAAGUAAUUUUUAUUAUUAAUAAAAAUUUAUAAAAUAUUUUUAAAUUGGUAUCUAAAUAUGUGCUAUAUAAAUAUAUUUCUCAAUAAUGUAAGUGUGUAACAAUUUUCGAUUAAUAAAAUAUAUCAUUUUCUUUUCUCCCUUUUCUUUUCUUUCUCUAAAUGUUAUUUUUUAUGAAAUUCAUUUUCCUUUUUAUAUGGACAACAUAGAUACCAAUUUUGACACACAUGAUAUAUUUAAACAUUUGCUUCCUUCUAUUUCUGAUAAUAAUAUUGUUGUGCCUACAUCUAUUCGUGAUAUUGUUUCUGAAACUGUAUUACCAUAUAGUUUUCCUGCUACCUACUACUGGUUCUUCUACACCAUUGCAUUUAAUUGAUACUGAUGUCUUGCAACACCAACAUUUUGAUCCACAACUUUCAUUUGUUCAAGUUUUUACUCGUCUCAAUCAACACCCUAGAUACUUGAAGGACUAUCGCACUACUUUUUUAUCUUCAAAAGAUGUUAUUGAUCAUUCUUCAAGUACUAAAUAUCCUAUUUAAAAGUAUCUCUCUUAUCAUAAUUGUUCUCCUACAUAUUUUUCUUUGUCAUAAUAUUUCUUCUAUCCAAGAACCUAAAUCAUUUAAAGAGGCGAUACAACAUGAUUGUUGGAAAGAAAUUAUGCAACAUGAACUUGAUGCUCUUGAGUCUAAUGAAACACAGUUUUUGAUGGAUUUGCCUCCUAGAAAGCAUCCUAUUGGGUGUAAAUGGGUUUUCAAAGCCAAGCAUAAACUAGACGACACCAUUGAUAGGUACAAGGCUCAUUUGGUUGCCAAAGGAUAUACUCAAACCAAAGGUAUUUAGUAUUUUGAGAAUUUCUCUCCGGUAGUUAAAAUUACUACCAUUUGAUUUAUUUUGUCUUUACCAAGUGCUAAGGGAUGAAUUCUUCAUCAAUUAGAUGUGAAUAAUGUUUUUCUUCAUGGUGAUCUUACUGUGGGCCUUACUCUUUCUCAUCCAACGCAAGUUUGUAAACUUAGAAAAUCUUUAUAUGGACUACUCAAAACUAACAUAGACUAUAAUACAACUUGGUUAUGUUCAAAGUAAAAUUGAUCAUUCUUUAUUUAUUCACACAGACAAUCAUUCUUUCACAGCUUUGUUGAUAUAUGUUGAUGGCAUUAUGUUGGUUGGCAAUAAUCUUCAGGAAAACACAUCUUUAUAACUCAUUUAGUAUCAAAGACCUUGGUACUCUUCGUUAUUUCUUGGGAUUUGAGAUAAGUUGUUCACCUUCUGGUAUUGUUUUCAAUCAACGAAAAUAUUGUUUAGAUUUUCUUUCUUAUAGUGGUUUAUUGGCUUGCAAACCUGCCUCUUCUCCCAUGGAACCAUCUUAUCCUCUCUUUGAAAGUGAAGGUUCAUUACUUUUGAAUCCAGGUGAAUAUAGAAGAUUGAUUGGGCGUUUGUUAUACCUUACUCGCACUAGGCCUGAUGUCAAUUUUGCAGUUCAUAAACUCAGUCAAUUUAUUUGAAAUCAACGAGAACCUCAUAUGAGAGAAACUCUUCGUGUAUUACGAUAUAGAGCACUAACUUUACUUGUUUGGGAACUUUAGUGGUUACAAUAUUUGUGUCAUGAUGUGCAUACUAAUAUUACUGAAUCUUUUGUUUAUUGUGACAAUAAAUCUGCUAUAGGCAUAGCAAAGAAUCUCACGUUUCAUGAGAGGACGAAACAUAUUGAAAUUGAUUGUCAUUUUGUUCAAACUAAACUUCAAGAAGGUCUCAUUCAUUUAAUCUUAGAUUUUUCCUCUAACCAAGUGGUUGAUAUCUUGACCAAACCUCUGCAUCCUCGGUUAUUUCGUGACAACUUAUCCAAGUUGAACAUGAAAGAUAUACAUGCUUCAGCUUGUGGGACGCUAUUAGAUGAUAAAUAUGAUCUCAUAAUAUUUUAGAUUUUCAAUUGUAACUACUUUUUCAAUUAUAACUACUCUAUCAGUUUUUAACAAGGUAUGUAGGUUGACAGCUCUAGAAGUAGUUUCGGAACCUUGUGUGGUUGUAUACAACUGAGUAUUGGCAAUAGGAACAAUUAAGAAAAGGCGGUGCAGUGCAAGGUGCCUCGGUGAUCCUAUGAAGAAUGUUGCAUAAUUUUGCAACAGUUUUUCUCUUUCUUCAUGUGCUAGAUGUUACCUGUACUUUUUGUAUGAGUGUGAGUUUUUUUGUAUAAGGGUUGGGAUACCCCUAAAAUAUCCCGGUUUAUUUAACUUUAUUAUUUGCUGAUAAAAAAACGGCUCUAUUGUAGCGGUUCAAUCAAUUUAUGUUAUUUCUUAUCUUUUAUAUUUUUAUGUGUUAUAUAAAGAUAGUACUUAAUAAUAUAACUAUAUAACAAUUAUUGAUUAAUAAAAUAUAUAAUUUUUUUUCUCUUUUUUUUCUCUCUAAAUGAGAUAUAUAAAACUAAUAUUCCUUUUAAAUUGUUAUUUAAGGGAUACUAUUGUUGCGUGAUUUGAAAUACCAGGGCGGUAGAAAGAUUGUGUAGAAGAAAUAUUUUUCUAAUAAGCACAUUAUCACCAUAAAAAGAGUUAAUUUAUAACAUCUACUGAAUUUGGGAUCUCAUUAAAUGUGUUGGAUUGUUGGAUUUCUGAAAUAGAAUGUAGGGUUUGAAAAAUAUAAAAUUAAUGUGUAUAUUCCAAUCAUUUCAAGAGUUAAGAAUUUAUUUACCAAUCCAAGUUAUGUUAAAACCCUUAGAUGAUGCACAUAUGAGAAGAAAUGUGACAGACUACUUCUUCAUCUAGUUGAUUCUUCAUAAUGGAAGAACAUUGAUGAUGAAUUUUCCUCAUUCGAAAAAGAGUAAAAAAAAUCCUAGGUUUAAUCUAGCUACAAAUGGAUUAAAUUUAUUUGGUAAUUUAAAUACUAAUCAUAGUUCAUCCUCUAUUUUACCAGUUAUAUACCACUUACCUCUUGGUUUGUACAUGAAGUAAAAAAUACAUGGUGUUGUCUAUAAUAAUCUCUAGUAUAUGAGAAUCAGGAAAUAACAUAAAUUUUUAUCUCACUUUAUUGAUUGAAGAUUUAAAUUUGUUAUGGGGUCACUACAAAAAAUAAUUGAAUUAGCUACCAAAGAUUAGUGUGGGCCAAACUGCAGGCACUAUUAGAGACAACACCACCCACACUACAAGGGUAAAUUCCCUAUCUAGCACCAUUUACACUUUUAUUUCCCUAACUAGCACCCUUUUGCUUUUAUUUUCUUAUCUAGCACCCUUUUGUUUUUAUUUCCCUAUCUAGCACCCUUCUAUUUUUUAUUUCCCUAUCUAGCACCAUUUCAAAAAUAAAUAAAUAAAUAAUAAAUUAAUUUUUUUUUUGAUAAUUUUAAUUUUGAAUGCAUUAAAAAAUAAGUAUUUUUAAUGUUUAAAAUAGUUAGAAAUAUAAUUAAUGAAUAAAAAAAUGAGUUUUUACAAAAUAAAAAAAAAGUAAUGAAUUAAAAAUGCUUAGUUUAAAAUUAUUUUUUUAAUAAUGAAGAAAAUAAGAAAUUAAACCCUACAACAACAUAAAAGUUGAAUCUAUAAACAUAAAUUAGUAUUUUUAUUAUUAUUAUUAUUGAUGAUGUAAUCAUGUUAAUUUCAAGUAAAAAAUACAGAACAUAAUUAUAAAAAAACCAAAGUCAAUUAGUAUUAAUUAAUAGUGGACACACAAAUAAUAUUGAAGUGUCUACCCUAAAUGCAAAAUCCUAAAAAAAAAAACUAAUGCAAAUGUUACACUUAAUCCUUAAAAUUAGAAGAAAAAAAAUGCAAAAAUAAAUAAGUAUAGAAAAUAAAAUCAACAAUAAUAAAAAAAAAUAAAAAAAUAAACAAUGACAGAAAAAAACAAUAACUAAAAACAUAUAAGAUAUAAAAUAAAGGAAAAACAAAAUAAGAUAAAUAUACAAGAUAUAAAAAAAAAUCCAAACAAGAUAAAAAUAAGAGAUAUAAGACGAUACUAAAUAAGUAGAUGUUGAUCAUAAAAAGAAAAAUAAAUGAAAGAUGGUCAUUCAUUUAAUAUUUUCUUCAAUGGUACAUUAAAUAGUCUGUGUGAAAUGAAACAUAAUUAAGAACGAGAAAAACACAAUCCAAUAAUGUUGGGACAUGUUUUUUUUGUGUUCGAUCAUGUUGUUCUCUUAUGUCAAUAUCAGUCCUUAUUUAACUUGACUUAGGUUUCCCCUUUGAGGUUAUUUUCAUGUCAGGACUUGGGCAUAGUAUUUGACUGGUGUAUGCAGGCCAAUACUCUUCAUUUUUUAGUUCCAUCAAAUAGUCUUUCGUAACAUGAAAUAUAUGUUGCAAUGUUGCUGUUUUUAUUUUCUAUAUUUAUUUAUUUUUACAUUUUUCUUCUCAUUUUUAAGCAUUAAGUGUAGCAAUUACAUUAGUUUUUUUGUGCGUUCAAUAUUAAUUAAUACUAAUUGACUUUGAUUUUUUUUAUAAUUAUGUCCUAUAUUUUUUACUUGAAAUUAACAUGAUUACAUCAUCAAUAAUAAUAAAAAUAAAUACUAAUUUAUGUUUAUAGAUUGAACUUUUAUGUUGUUGUAGAGUUUAAUUUUUUAUUUUCUUCAUUCUUAAAAAAAAAAUUAUACUAAACAUUUUUAAUUUAUUACUUUUUUAUUUUUAUUUUGUAAAAACUAAUUUAUUUAUUCAUUAAUUAUAUUUCUAAUUAUUUUAAUCAUUAAAAAUACUUAUUUUUUUAAUGUAUUCAAAAUUAAAAUUAUAAAAUAAAAUUAAUUUAUUAUUUAUUUAUUUAUUUUUGAAAUGGUGUUAGAUAGGGAAAUAAAAAAUAAAAGGAUACUAGAUAGGGAAAUAAAAACAAAAAGGUGCUAAAUAGAAAAAUAAAAGUGUAAAUGGUGCUAGAUAGAGAAUUGAGCCACACUACAACAAUCUAAGAAUAACUCUAAAUAUUAGAAUGUACCAAAAACACUCUAAGUCCACGCUAGCAGUUUUAAAAAUAAUAAAUUAUUACAAAAUUUAUUUCAGUUAAUUAAAUAAUAUAUUACUAGGCUUUGAGUGUAUUUUGGAGAGUUUAACAAACCGUCCGUUAGUUAUUUUCAUUUUUUCACGAAAGAAUAAAUCCUUCAUCUCUUUCUUCAGAGCACCCACAAGUUCAAUCUUCUCCAUUUUUCAUCUUUUUUUCUCAAACCAAAUUCGCAAGGUUAAAUCUUCCCUUUUUUCACUCUUUCUUCAAAGCAAACCCUAGAUCCUCUUCUUCAUUUUUGGCCUUCCUACGCUAGCUAAAAUCUUCUCCUCUUUUUCGUUUUUGGCGCGAGUUAGAAUCUUCUCCCUUUUUCUCCUCUUUCUUCAGAGCAAACUCUACACCUUUUCUUCGUUUUUGGCCAAACCAUUUGUUCCUACCGCGAUUAUCUCAUCAAGCAGUUGUUAAAACCUCAAUUUCUUCUUGUCUCCAUUGUUGUUGCACAAAUUUAUUUAUUUUUGUAGUGAGUGAGCUAGUGAGGCUACGUAAUCAAUUCCAGUCUUCAAAAUUGGGAGGAUGAUGUUGAAUUUUUGGAUUGGCUUCGAUUCUUUGCAGCUUAACCUCUAAGGUUAACUUAAAAGGUUAGUUGAUUUUGGUUUCAGUGAGUUCAUUGUUGAUUCAGCGUUUUAUUUUUAAUUUUUGCGUUUUUCUGUGUUUGAUUGAGGUGGUGCAGGGAUUGUAUGAGGAUUGUUGUGUGGAACUGGAAAUUGUGUUGGAAGUGUUAUAAAGGUUAGUUUAUAGCAAGUUAGUUUUAGGAAUCGAAAAUAGUUUGUAAUAUUUUAAAAAAAUUGCAUGUCGAAGAAUGAAUUAGAUGGAGUAACUGAAAUUGUUGUGAUGAAUUGCAAUUAAGAUUGGGAUUUGGUUAUGUUUUGAACAUGUUACUCUUGAAUAUUGAUUUCAGUGGAAAAUUUAACAUUAUAGCAAUAUGCAUAGUCUUGGUUCUUUUUUCUUGUUACUUUUAUCAUUUUUCUCCAAUUUUGUUGAAUCCUUCAUGCAAUUCCUCGUGUACUUUCAAAUGAAAAUAUAUUUAUAAUAUUAUUUUUAUAAUAUUGAAUAUUAAAUAUGCUUAUUGUAGAAAAAUUGAAACAUUGAAAGAAGAUAAUAUAUCUUUUACAUAAGAGAUUUCUAAAAGUUAUCAUCAUAUUGUAGGUUGAGAAAAAAAAUGAAUAUCAAUAGAAUGACAAUUAUCUCAUUUCAUUAUGUUCCAAUUUAUGAAAAGGUAAAGAAGAUAAAUCAUGUCUAUAGAAAGAUGAAAAAAAUUCAAGUAUGACAAACAUAUGGAAGACAAUGUCCAUCUUCUCUAAUCUUCCACAUUAGCAUAAGUUAAAAGUUAGACAUUGUAUAAAUGUAAUGCAUGUAGAGAAAGACAUGUGUGAUAAAUUAAUUGGUGCACUUCUUAACACUAAAGGGAAGUCAAAUGAUGGUGUGAAUGCUUGUUUCAAUUUGAUUGAAAUGAAGAUACAAGAGGAUUUGGUACCAAGAAAGGUAGGUAAGCACAAAUAUUUGUCUCCAUCAUGUUACACUUUGUCUAAAAAAAGGGAGAAAAUAAGUUUGUGCCAAUUCUAAAGGAAUUGAAGGUACCACAAAAAUACUCUUCAAAUUUUAAGAGUAUUGCAUUUGUACAAAAUAUAAAGCUAGUUGGCUUAAAGUUUCAUGAUUGUCACAUUUUAAUGCAAUAAUUAUUGAUUGUGGUUAUUAGUGGAAUCUUACCCAAAAUGAUUAGACAUAUGAUUACUUUUUGACAAGUAUACCAAUGUGUUGCAAGUAGUAAAUGGGAUAGAAGUUCAAGUAUCAAAUAUACAAAGAUUUGUUAUAUAAUUAUUUAAUCAUAAAGAAAAUUAACUAUAGGACGUUUUGAAUUUGAGAGAAAAAUAAAGGUAACAUUUAUAAUUUAUAAAGGUAAAAAUAAAAAAUUAAGAUUUUUGGAUUUUGGAAAGAAAAAGACUAAUACCCUUUCCCAUGUCAUUCAUUUUUCCCAACUUCAACUAUACAAAAUUAUAAUUUGAUUAUUUGGUGAGAAAAUACCAAGAUUACUUCUAGAAUAUCAAAUUGGUCCUUCGGUGAAGUUUACCAAGAAACCAACAUUAAGGUCAAUGACUUACAACUAGCUUAGUAAAAACAUUAGUACAAAAUCAUGAUUUCAUUAGUUAGACCAAACAAACAUUAAGAAAAUAGUAAAUUUUUUUACUAAAUAAUGCUAGAAAAAAGAAGAUAAAUUACAUGAUUUGGACAACUACAUCAACAUUUAUCAAUAGAGUGCUUAACCGCUCAUGGCUUAACACUUAGUCUAACAUUAAAAGAAAAUACUACAAAAUUAAGAGCAUAAUGUGGUGCUUAGGUUUUGGGCUACUACCUUCGGGGUACAAGGUUGUAUACAAAAGAUUGGGUUUUGCUUGUUGCCUUAGUCCUUAAUUUAUAACAUUUAAAGUUAAUUUUUUUUCUUCACAAUGUGUCUCUUAAGGUCAAGUGGUAGUAGAUGUGACGAUAACAAAGUGUUCACGUAAUCCUAACAAAAAGAAGAAAACGUAAAAUCAUAAAAACAAUAAAUAAAAAAUAAUAUUAGAAAUACAUGAAAUAACAAUAAGUUUUCAAACUGAGAUAGUUUCACUCAAGUGAGAUAUAUAUGGUUAUUUUGGCAUGUUGUAUUAUUAAUGAGAGUUUCAUGUAUAUACAUGAGAUAGGUAGGUGAGAUGGUUAAUUGAAAUGCAUCUAAAAUGAGUCUACAUGAUGUGAUGUGUUAUGAUAAAAUCUUAUACAUGUAAUUCUAUAGUGCAAGGUUACUUGAAAUUAUAUCGUGACUAAUUAUGGAUGUAGUAUUAAAUAAAAAAUUUAUUAAAAAAUAUUCAAACUUUACUAAUAAUCUAAAUGAUGUAUAUUACAGAUUGAGGUUUCUAAGACUAUUUCGGUAAUUAAAGAUUUAACUUGUUUAGUGGGAAAUUCGUCUAAAGUUUCAAUGAAGAAUGAUAUGUUGGAUUUCAACAUGAUUAAGUUUUUUGGUAUUAAGACUCGUAGUGGGAAAGUUCUUCGUCCUCUUCCUGUUAGAUGGGAAUUUCCUUCACCAAGUUGGGUUAAAAUUAACACUGAUGAGACUGCUAGGGGUAUCCUGGUCUUACUACUUGUGGAGGUAUUUUUCGUGGGAGUAUGGGAGAAUUUAUUGGUGCUUUUUCAGGGUUUCUUGAAGUUCAGACUGCUUUGGUUGCUGAGUUUUAUGGAGUUAUACAUGCUAUGGAGGAAGCUCAAAAGAUGAGACUUACUAAUGUUUGGCUUGAAUGUGAUUCUGUCUUGGUUUGUGCUGCGUUUACUGCUAGGACUAAUGUUCCGUGGAUGUUUCGUAAUCGAUGGAAUACUUGUCUUAAUUUCUGUAGGACAAUCAAGUUUAGGGUUACUCAUAUUUUUCGUGAGGAAAAUACAUGUGCUGAUAAGUUGGCUAAUUUAGGGUUCAUUCAUAGAGAAUCAUUUCAUUGGUAUAAUAGACUUCCAUCUAGUCUGUUCUUAGAAUUCUUUAUGAAUAGGUAUAGUCUACUUAUGUAUCGUCUUUGUUAACAUGUAGGUUUUGGUCUAGUCCCCCCAUAUUUUUGUAUUUUUUUUCUUUUUUUUUUUAAUAAUAUUUUUUUCAUGUGAUGACAGAUGAUUGUUGUUACUUGAGGUGUCAGCCUAGCUUAGAUGUCAAGUUGCAUAGUGAUGUUUAACAUGAAAACUUUUAUAAAAAAAAAAAUAUAUUAGAUAGUGAAAAUAUGGAAUUAUAUUACAUUCCGACAUGUUUUAAAAUCAAAAUCACAUUUUCAUUUAUAAAUCAAAGUAUGAUUCAUCAAUAUUCAAAAUCAUAUCAAGAAAAAUACAUUAUAUAUUGGUAGACUUUCUCUCAAAUCUCUAAAACUUCUAUCAUUCAACUAUGUAUAAUAGUUCAAAAUCACAAGAAUUAAUUUAAAAUAGUUCUAAAAUCUUAGUUCAACUUCCCUUCAUGAUAGUUACUUCUUUACCAAACAAUAUCAAUCCUAAGAUUAAAAAAAAAGUUAAAAAUACUAAAAUUUAUAAGAUAUCAAUCCUAAGAUUAAAAAAACUGAGUUAAAAAUACUAAAAUUUAUAAGAAGUUAAGAAAGAUCACUUAAUUAACCAAAAACAUUAUAAGAAGUUGAAGAAAUAUUAACUUUUGUCCUAGUGAAAUUUUAAAACAUUAACAAGUAGAUCUAAAAACACUACAAGAAAGAAAAAAAAAAGGUUUUAAUCGAAGUUAUUUAGUGGGAGUUAAUAUAACUUUAGGAAUUGAUUUAAUUAAUAGAGAUUUUUUUAACCUUAGUCCAGUUUCAAAGGUUUAUUCUAAAAUCUCAGUAAAAUAACGAAGAUUUUUUUUAAUCUUCCUUGAAUUUCAAUGAUUUAUUUUAAAACCUCAACAAAAUAACAAAGAUAUUUUUAGUUUAUUUUAAAAUUUCCAAAAAAAUAACCAAAUUUUUUACAUUAAUUUAAAUUUCAAAAAUUUAUUUUAAAAUUCUUUUCCCACGUUUUCUCUCCUCAUUACUCAUAGCCGCAACUUCUUUGCCGGAAAAAAAACACAAUCGUCAAUGCCUCGCUUGCGAGAUCCGACAAUGAUAGCUUUACGAACAUGAUUGAUUGGGCUCUCGAAAGAGAGUUCCCCGAUGAGCAAAAUGAAGAUUUGUAUAUCUAACUUGUCCCACUUUUAACUUUUUAAUGCUCAAACAUUUCUAAAUAUUUUCGUGUAAUUCGAUUCCAAAAACUCAUUGGAUCGUGGUUGCUGUAUGCAUUUGCAGUGUGAAUUGUAUAACAUAUGUUUCUAAAAAUUAAAAAUUGAAAUCAGUGAAUACCAGUGAAUCAUAACAAUCAGGUUCUGCAUUUAUCAUUUAAUUUUAGUGUAUGUGAUUUGUUGCAGUGACGUUUAUUUUUUUCUCGAACAGUCUAACAUAGAUUUCCUGCAUAUUAGCUUCAAUCACUUGAAUUUUGAAUGCGUCUCUGGUGAAGAAUUACAACAUUAAGAGGUUUCAAUUUAGUGCCAUUUCAUCAUGUAAUUUAAUUCUUUGGUGCUAUUUUUGGUAUUGAUCGAUGUAUGAGAACAGUGUUGUUCUUCUUUAUUGUUGAUAAAUUCAGAGAAUCAUUUAUUCAAACAGAUAGUGGUGCAAAUUAUUCAAACAGAACAAAAUUUCAGUAUAUAAUAGAAUAAGUUGAGAGGAUUAAACUUCUCAACUGACCCCACCAAGAUUGAUGACUAAAUCCUAAAGAAAAAUAGAGAACGAAGGAUAUUUAGAGUAAAAAUGAACUUACUCUGUUUGAAAAUCUGAUCGGGUAGAAAUGUUCCUUAACUCUUCUGUUACAGCGUGGUAUGAUCAGAUUCUAAAAUAGAUGAAGAUUGGGAGAGAAAUUAAGAGAGAGGGAGAGAAGAGAAUUGGAGAGAGAGAGAGAAAGAAAGAUGUGUGUGACGGUGGGUCUUUGGCUUCUGCUUCUUUUUUAUACUGUUACAUUAUCUCCAACUACAAAAAUUUUCGUCCUCGAAAAUGAACAUACCAAGAAAGAGAUUGGGGUAUAAUGCUCGUAUCUCCUCUUCAAUUUCCCAAGUGGAGUCUCCAGAUAUGAGAUCCCACAAUACUUUCACCAUGGAAAUACUUAUUCCACGAAGUUGUUUCACUUGUGAAUCUAAAAUUCUGAUUGGCUUCACUUCAAACGACAAAUUUUCUUUGACCUGGAUAGAAUCAGACUCUAGAAUGUGGCUAGGAUCAGGCACAUACUUUCGUAGUUGGGAUACAUGGAAAAUAUUGUGAAUGUUAGCUAAAGGAGGAGGCAAAGCAAUUUCAUAAGCCACAAGGCCUAUUUUCCUGAGAAUUUGAUAAGGUCCUAUGAACUUAGGAGUCAAUUUCUUGGAUUUGAGUGCUCUUCCUACACCAGUGAAUGGUGUAACUCUUAAAAAGACAUGCUCACCCGCAGAGAAUUCUAAAGGUCUUCUUCUUUGAUCUGCAUAAGAUUUUUGCCUGCUGAGAGAUGUUUUCAAUCUUUCCNNNNNNNNNNNNNNNNNNNNNNNNNNNNNNNNNNNNNNNNNNNNNNNNNNNNNNNNNNNNNNNNNNNNNNNNNNNNNNNNNNNNNNNNNNNNNNNNNNNNAAUCAUUUUGACUUUCUCAUUGGUUUGUUGUACUAAUUCUGGUCCAAUUAACACACUCUCACCAUCCUGAAACCAACACAGAGGUGUCCUACACUUUCUUCCGUACAAUGCCUCGAAAGGAGCCAUUCCUAUGCUAGCUUGGUAACUGUUAUUGUAAGUGAACUCUACCAAUGGUAGAAUUUCAUCCCAACUGCCCAAAUGAUCUAACACACAAGUCCUAAGCAAAUCUUCUAAGGACUGGAUAGUUCUCUCUGAUUGUCCAUCAGUUUGAGGAUGGUACGCUGAACUAAGUCUGAGUUUAGUCCCCAAAGCUUCUUGAAGUGUUUGCCAGAAUCUGGAGGUGAAUCUAGGAUCUCUAUCUGAAACUAUGCUGGAGGGUACACCAUGCAAUCUGACUAUUUCNNNNNNNNNNNNNNNNNNNNNNNNNNNNNNNNNNNNNNNNNNNNNNNNNNNNNNNNNNNNNNNNNNNNNNNNNNNNNNNNNNNNNNNNNNNNNNNNNNNNNNNNNNNNNNNNNNNNNNNNNNNNNNNNNNNNNNNNNNNNNNNNNNNNNNNNNNNNNNNNNNNNNNNNNNNNNNNNNNNNNNNNNNNNNNNNNNNNNNNNNNNNNNNNNNNNNNNNNNNNNNNNNNNNNNNNNNNNNNNNNNNNNNNNNNNNNNNNNNNNNNNNNNNNNNNNNNNNNNNNCACCAAUAAGACUUCUUGAGAUCUUGAUUCAUCUUGGUCAUUCCUGGAUGUAAACUGAGUUUGCUUUUAUGACCUUCAGAUAACACUGUUUGUUUUAGUUCAUUAUCCUCUAGUAUACAUAUUCUAUUUUUGAAUCUCAAAAUACCAUCCACUCCUAAAGAGAAGUCUUUAGCUUUGUCAGUAUUUAAUAAGCCCAUGAAGUUCUUCAAUUUUGAAUCUUCCAACUGCUUCUCCUUCACCUUCUCCAGAAAUUCAUUAGUUAUAACAAGUGUAUUACAACUAAUGCAAUUUGAAGACAUGGAAACCUCCAAAUUCAUACUCCUGAAAUCUUCAAUCAAUGUUAGCUCUCUAAUCAUAAGCGACGACAUUUGUAUCUUUUUACGACUCAACGCAUCUGCAACAACAUUUGCCUUCCCAGGAUGAUAUAUUAAAUGGAAAUCAUAGUCUUUUAAAAAUUCAAUCCAUCUCCUCUGCCUCAUAUUUAACUCCUUCUAAUCAAACAAAUACUUCAAGCUUUUAUGAUCACUGAACACAUUAAAACUAACUCCGUAAAGAAAAUGUCUCCAUAUUUUUAAAGCAAAGACAACUGCUGCCAAUUCUAGAUCAUGAGUUGGAUAAUUUCUUUCAUGCACCUUUAACUGACGAGAAGCGUAGGCAACAACUUUCUUAUUCUGCAUCAAAACAAAACCCAAUCCCUGAUAGGAAGCAUCACAAAAAACUUCAAAAGACUGAUUGGUAUCAGGGAUUGUCAAUAUAGGAGCAUUAGUCAACCUUCUUUUCAACUCUUCAAAGCUUUUCUCACAUUGUUCAGUCCAUGCAAAAGGAUGAUCCUUUCUAGUCAAUUGGGUCAAAGGAGCCACUAUUUUAGAAAAACCUUCUAUAAAUCUCCUGUAAUAUCCUGCUAACCCGACAAAGCUUCUAAUUUCAGUAACUGUUUUAGGACGUUCCCACUGAAGUACAACCUCCACUUUAGAAGGAUCUACUGAUAUUCCCUCUGCAGAGAUGACAUGUCCUAAAAAUUGUAUUUCUGACAUCCAAAAGUCACAUUUUGAAAGUUUAGCAUAUAACUGUUUUUCUCUCAAAAUGUUCAGGACGGUUCUAAGAUGUUCUGCAUGUUCUUCCCUUGUACGAGAAUAGAUCAAAAUAUCAUCUAUGAACACUACCACAAACUUAUCAAGAAAAAGUCUGAAUAUCCGAUUCAUAUAAUCCAUGAAAAUAGCUGGAGCAUUAGUCACCCCAAAUGGCAUAACCAGAAAUUCAUAGUGACCAUACCUUGAUCUAAAAGUAGUCUUCUGAAUAUCUUCCGCUUUCACUGAAAUUUGGUGAUAACCUGAGCGCAGAUCUAUCUUAGAAAAGACAACUGCUCCAUGCAACCGAUCCAACAGAUCGUCAAUUUUAGGAAGAGGAUAUUUAUUCUUUAUUGUUAACUUGUUUAAUUGUCUGUAAUCUAUGCAUAGACGUGACGAACCAUCUUUCUUCUUCACUAAUAGCACUGGAGCUCCCCAUGGAGAAACACUAGGUCGAAUGAAUUACUUCUCCAAUAAGUCCUCUAGUUGUUUCUUCAAUUCACCUAACUCCGCUGGUGCCAUCCGAUAUGGAGAAAUUGACACGGGGCCUGCUCCGGGAAUCAAGUCUAUUGCAAACUCUAUCUCUCUUUUAGGUGGAAGUCCAGGAAUCUCAUCAGGAAAUACAUCCAUAAACUCCUGAACUACAAACAUAUCUUUUUGUACUUUAUCAGUAACUAUAGAACAAGCCAAGAGCAUAAAACAUUCUGCACCUUCUCGUAUCUCUCUCUCAAACUGAUGAGCUGUGAUAACCUGCAUUCUUUCUAAUUUAGGGAAAAUUAACUUCUUCCGACCACAAUCUAUAAGGAUAUGAUUAGCAGACAACCAAUCCAUUCCCAAUAUAACCUCCAAAUCUUUUAGAGGUAUACAAAUCAUGUUGAUCUUGUAUCUCUGCCCAUCUAUAAUUACUGGACACUCAGCACACAUGGAAGAAGUUACUACAAUACCUUCUGUUGGUGUAGAUACCACCAACUCAAAUUCUAAUUCUCGGACUGACAACUUAAGUUUCUUAGCACAAUCAAAAGAUAUAAAAUGGGUUGCCCCAGAANNNNNNNNNNNNNNNNNNNNNNNNNNNNNNNNNNNNNNNNNNNNNNNNNNNNNNNNNNNNNNNNNNNNNNNNNNNNNNNNNNNNNNNNNNNNNNNNNNNNNNNNNNNNNNNNNNNNNNNNNNNNNNNNNNNNNNNNNNNNNNNNNNNNNNNNNNNNNNNNNNNNNNNNNNNNNNNNNNNNNNNNNNNNNNNNNNNNNNNNNNNNNNNNNNNNNNNNNNNNNNNNNNNNNNNNNNNNNNNNNNNNNNNNNNNNNNNNNNNNNNNNNNNNNNNNNNNNNNNNNNNNNNNNNNNNNNNNNNNNNNNNNNNNNNNNNNNNNNNNNNNNNNNNNNNNNNNNNNNNNNNNNNNNNNNNNNNNNNNNNNNNNNNNNNNNNNNNNNNNNNNNNNNNNNNNNNNNNNNNNNNNNNNNNNNNNNNNNNNNNNNNNNNNNNNNNNNNNNNNNNNNNNNNNNNNNNNNNNNNNNNNNNNNNNNNNNNNNNNNNNNNNNNNNNNNNNNNNNNNNNNNNNNNNNNNNNNNNNNNNNNNNNNNNNNNNNNNNNNNNNNNNNNNNNNNNNNNNNNNNNNNNNNNNNNNNNNNNNNNNNNNNNNNNNNNNNNNNNNNNNNNNNNNNNNNNNAAGAUUUCCUUGUUCCAGCUGCAUGAAUUCAAUUUCUUUUGCAUACCUGACACUAUCAGGAAAAUACUCCUUUAGGAAUCUUACUUUGAAGUUCUCCCAAGUGGCAUCUUCUCCUUUGUCUUCCAUCAUUUGCUUCAUGCCUAUCCACCAGAAUUCAGCUUCUUCAGUUAGUACAUAAAUGGCAUAGGAUAACUUUCUCUCUUCAGGGCAUUGAGUAGCUUCAAAGAUUCUUUCUAUGUCUCUCACCCACUGGUCUGCUCCAUCUGGAUUUACCUUGCCAUUAAAUAUGGCCGGAUUGUUUCUCAGAAAAUCAUCCAGACUAAAGGUAUGGGGUUGUUGAUGAAGCUGAGAUGCUUCAGCUGCUAAUCUAGUAGUUUCUAAUUGAUGAAGGGCGGUUUGAUGUUGUUGUGCCAUAGCAGCACUCUGUUGUUGCAGGGCUGUUACCAUUAUCACUAUUGCCCGAGCUAAGUUGGGCAUAUCUACUGGCGGAGGAAGAGUGAGUGGACUACGUGCCAUCUACUAAGCACGUAAAGAAUUGGGUUAGAAAUUACUAAAAUUUUCAACUACAUCUUUAAGACAAAUUAACUUAAAAUAAAUAAUCACACAAAAUAGAUACAAAAUCAAUCAAGACUUAUCUCUAAAAUGUACUCUAACGGUUUAGAAUUAAGAUAGAAAAUAAUCUUGAUCCAGUCAUAAGUGUGCACCCAUCACCACUCUAUCAAGAUUCUUUUCAUUCUUAAUACUUUCAUCUUUAUUCAUAACAAUUAAUUUGACUCAAACACAAACAAGAUUUCAAGAAAAACAACUUUGUCAAACAUCUUAUUAGAAACUUUUAACUAAGUCUUGAGGCUAGACUUAAACAAAAAUCUACACGNNNNNNNNNNNNNNNNNNNNNNNNNNNNNNNNNNNNNNNNNNNNNNNNNNNNNNNNNNNNNNNNNNNNNNNNNNNNNNNNNNNNNNNNNNNNNNNNNNNNNNNNNNNNNNNNNNNNNNNNNNNNNNNNNNNNNNNNNNNNNNNNNNNNNNNNNNNNNNNNNNNNNNNNNNNNNNNNNNNNNNNNNNNNNNNNNNNNNNNNNNNNNNNNNNNNNNNNNNNNNNNNNNNNNNNNNNNNNNNNNNNNNNNNNNNNNNNNNNNNNNNNNNNNNNNNNNNNNNNNNNNNNNNNNNNNNNNNNNNNNNNNNNNNNNNNNNNNNNNNNNNNNNNNNNNNNNNNNNNNNNNNNNNNNNNNNNNNNNNNNNNNNNNNNNNNNNNNNNNNNNNNNNNNNNNNNNNNNNNNNNNNNNNNNNNNNNNNNNNNNNNNNNNNNNNNNNNNNNNNNNNNNNNNNNNNNNNNNNNNNNNNNNNNNNNNNNNNNNNNNNNNNNNNNNNNNNNNNNNNNNNNNNNNNNNNNNNNNNNNNNNNNNNNNNNNNNNNNNNNNNNNNNNNNNNNNNNNNNNNNNNNNNNNNNNNNNNNNNNNNNNNNNNNNNNNNNNNNNNNNNNNNCGGUGUGCAUGAACUCCCCCAUCAGCUUCUCACCACCUAAUAUCUUAAUCUAUGUGACUUAGAUCAUCAGUGAAGCUCGGAGAUCUCUGUUACCACAUAGGCAUCAAUACUUAAUACACAGCAAACAUCAGUCCAUACAUUAUCCCAAAUGUAUGAAUUCAAUUCCAUACCAUUCCGUCAAUACAAUAUCAUUCCAAACACGAUCCACAACAUUCAAAAACGUAAUUAAAAUAAAAAACAAUACUUAAAUAUUAAACCAUCAAAAUAUAAUAUAUUUACAAAUUUAAAUAACAUAUAAACAAACAACCCAAUAUAUAUAACACACAACAUGCCUGCAAGAAAAAUUGAGUAUUGGGACCACGUCCCUUCCGCAUUCAUAUCUUCUAUCCUAGGAUGCUAUUAAAAAUUAAAUUUAGCUUCCCUUAUCUCAAUUGCUUGCUUUCCAAGCAACUUUUAGAAUUUUAUUCCCCACCAUUUGGAUAAGCUUCAAGAUUUACGGGCCUAAUGCAAAUUAUCCAAACAGAACAAAAUUUCAGUAUAUAAUAGAAUAAGUUGAGAGGAUUAAACUUCUCAAUUGACCCCACCAAGAUUGAUGACUAAAUCCUAAAGAAAAAUAGAGAACAAAGGAUAUUUAGAGUAAAAAUGAACUUACUCUGUUUGAAAAUCUGAUCGGGUAGAAAUGUUCCUUAACUCUUCUGCUACAGUGUGGUAUGAUCAGAUUCUAAAAUAGAUGAAGAUUGGGAGAGAAAUUAAGAGAGAAGGAGAGAAGAGAAUUGGAGAGAGAGAGAGAAAGAAAGAAUGUGUCUGACCGUGAGAAAGAAAGAAUUACCCGGAUGAUCUGGCCAUUGCCCAGUUUGAGAUCAGUUAAAAACUUUCUGUCUAUAGUGGUGGCAGCCACAGAAAUGUACCAGGGUGCAACAUCCGCCAUUGUGGAAGGAUUUGGACCCGAAUUGCCUGCAGAUUUAGAAGUUAAUAUGCCCCUCCUCAUUGCAUGGAAAGCUCCUAUUGCAUGUACAUCUUCAAAAUAGUUCAAGUGUUUGACGGUUGAUCCCACUGAAACAGAAAGAAUAUCAACACCAUCUGAGAUGGCUGCAUCAUAUGCUGCAAAACCAAAAAUAUAGUAAUAGACAUAUGACAGAAAUAGUAAUAAUAUGCAUCAUAUGACAGGAAUCAAAACCAAAAAUAUAUUUAUGAAUAAAGCAAAAAGCUGAUGAAAAUGUGGUUUGAGCUAAUAGACAUAUAUGUAUAAUUGGAAUUUUUCAAGUGCUCUUUUUAUUAAUAUAUUUUAGUUCUUUUUUUUGGAAAAAAAAAUUACCUUUCAUUCUUUCUGAUUCUUCUUUGGUUAGUCUCGCCACAAAUCCAUUGAAACUCUUGUAGCGGUGCAACAAAGUAUCUGAUGCAAAUUUGCUGGAUGGAUGUACAUGUCAUAUGGAAUUUUAAUAGUUAGUUAAAAAAUUCCAUAUUCUUGAUUGAUAAUAGGUUUAAAAUAAAAGAGUUGUUCUCUUUUUAGAGCAAUUUAUUUCAUUGUUUUUCUUUUCACUCCUCCAAAAUAGCAUUUAAGUCAAACACGAUUCUUUGUAUUUGAAAAUGUUAGACAGAUAAUGUUAAGUGAGUUAAGUAGAAACAAUAAUUAAGGCUUAUGAACCUGCCGAGGACACUUUGAACCAUACUGGUGUGAAAUGAUUCUGUGAUUUCCAUGCCCUUUGGAUAUUCUCCCAUGUAGACUAUGUAAGUCUGUAGUAUGAACAAGAUAAAUUAAAAAAAUAAAAAAGAAAUUUAAACUAAGUGAAUUUUAGUGAAUUUCACAUGGAUGCUUCAACAUUGAAAAUAUUAUGAUGCAUAUAAUUAUUUUUAGGUUAAUUUGUUAUUUUGAACUCUUCUUAACUUAAAAGUAAUCCAAGAUUUUACUUAAAAAAAUAUGCAUUAUUAGAUUUAUUUUAAAAAAUCAUAAAAGGAUAAAAACCUAAGAGUAAUUUAUGGAAAGAUAUAACUUCUCAGAUAAGGAUUGUGAAAAUUAGUUGAGGAAAAAAUAAAGUACAAUACAAAGUGAAGUAUUAUACAAAAGAGAUAACGGAAGUAUAUGUUUGUAAAAGUAUAUUUCUGUAAGACAAAUAUUUUCAAUUGCUAGCUUCACUGCAAGAAAUUUGUUAUUUACAUACCGAUUAUUAUAUACGAAUUUUACAUACGGAUUUAAAUUCACAUGUAAAGUGACAUUAUAAAUGAAUUUUUACAUACGGAUCUUGAUCCGUAUGUAAAGUGAGCAUUACAUACGAAUUUUUACAUAUGGAUCCUGAUCGAUUUGUAAAGUGAGCAUUACAUACGGAUUUGUGUUGUAUGUAAUACCAAUUUUUCUUAUAGUGGUAAAAUAACAUUGAAUAUAUAUUAUUUACCUUUCUAUCAUCUUUAGAAAAUGAGGGAGUCAACAGCAGAAUGCAUGUAAGAAUUUGAAGAAGAUGCGACAAUCCUAAAGAUUUCAUCUUUCGGUGAUAGUAAUCUUGAUUAAAUGAUGAAUGUGUUCUCAAGCUCUUUCAACCUGUAAGUAAAUUUAAUUUAUUAUGUUAAGUAUAUAUAACUCAUAGCACAAUGCUCCUACACUAAAAUUUGAUAUUGAAAAUGGUAAAAGAAGUAUAUAUACAUAAUAAAUUGAUAAUGAAAACAGUAACAAAGUAGAUUAGAAAGAAGAACAUCAUUUUAAUCUGCACAACAAAGUGGAUUUGGUAGCUUUACAAUAUACUUAAAAGUUGGUUUUGUGAUUUUUAAUUAAUUUGUAGAUUGCUGUUAUUUUAUCAUUCUGGUGGUUGAAGUUGAAUUGGAUAGAUUGAUGUAUGUGUGCAAUCUAUUAUUUUAAACUACUGUGUAAAUAUUGUCCAUAAUUUCAUAUAUGUUAAAUUUCAAAUGACAUUAACAUUUCACAAUGGUUUUAAAUUAUUACUAAAUGGGGUCUUCAAUGCACCAUGUAUGCUGGUCACAUAUACAUACAGUCAACUGUGUCACCAAAUCUACUUCCUAUAUAUUGUGUAUUGUUUAAUUCUGUUCAAUUUUGUUGAUGCAGGCAAAUAAACAUUAAUGGUGUCAACUAUAGUAAUUAAAUCUACUUUGUUAUACAUUGUGUUUUGUAUUAAUUUUAUUCAAUUAUGUUCAUCACAUAAGUAGACAAAUAAACAAUAAUAAUAUCAACUAUAUUCACUAAGUCUUCUUCAUAUUAUAUAUUGUAUAUUUUAUUAAUUUUGUUCAUCACAUAUAGACAUAAAUAAAAAAUAAUAGUGUCAAGUAUGAUCAUUAAAUCUAUUUUUUAAUAUAUAUAUAUAUAUAUAUAUAUAUAUAUAUUCAUCACAUAAGCAGGCAAAUAAACAAUAAUAAUGUUAACUAUGGUCACUAAGUCUACUUCAUUCUAUAUAUUAUGUAUUGUAUUAAUUUUGUUCAUCACAUAUAAACAUAAAUAGAAAUAAAUCAAUAGAAUAAAAGUAAUUAGGGAUCAUGUUGAUGCUUAAUAUUUACUCAAAUUAAGAGAAAGCUAUUAUAUAUAAUUACAAAUUCAUAAUUAAAUUAAUUAAAAGUAAACCAAUAAAAAUAACUAGGGAUGAUGUUGAUGCUUAAUAUUUACUCGAAGAGAAAUCUAUUAUAUAUAGUUACAAAUUCAUAACAAGAUAAUUAUGCUGAAAAGUUAAAUAACUUUGUAUUAAUUAAUUUAAAUACUGAAUAAAUAAUAAAUAUAUUCUACUGUUUUAGGUCACUUUUUGAAGCCAAAGCACUGACUGAACCUAAUUGCAUGGUUAAAAAAAAAAUACAAUUUGAUAAAGUUUGGUUUAUGAUGGAUUUAUAAUUCAGUGGGUUUUUAAUUUUUAAAUUGAGGUAUAAACGAAACAAUAGAAAUAGAGAGCAAUGUUAUAAAUAUAGAACCAGAAAACAGAAGCAAUAGAAAAAUAUUAGGAGAAAGAGCUAUAAAUGAAUAAUGGAAAUAGGAAUAGAGGAGAGAUAUACUCAACUUAGUCUAACAUAUCUCGAGUAAAGGAUGUCAAUACACACACUCUAUCUUACCUUUUAUAGCCACUACAUUCGAUGGCUUCAUGGUCCACGUUUUGCACAUUUAAUUUUUAAAUUUGAUUUUCAAUGAGAAAAAUUAAUUUGACAUUUAAUUUUCGAAUGUAAUUUUCAAUGAGAAAAAUUAAUUUGAUAAAUUUUUUAAAAGAAAAACUAUACACUCCAAUAGAAAUUGGAGUUUCCUCAUAGUAAUAUAACUAUACUUCUUUAUAUUAAGCCUUUUCUGUUAAAAUAUUCAUCUAGAAGAUAAUAUUUUCACUGUUUAGUGUAUUGAAUAUUUUUUCUAAAAUAUGUUUAAUUAAUUAAUAUGUUUUAAAAUAAAUAAAUAAGUACUGAAUUUGGAAUUAUAUUUUCUAUUAGAGUUGGAGUAAUUUAUGUCAACAUGUAAUUUUUUUAACACAUGAAACAAGAAUUAUUCUGUACAAGUCAAAUUUUAAUUAGAAAUAGCACUUAAUUAAAACAUUGAGUUUAAGACUUUUUAAGAAUUUACGUAUUAAAUAUUGUAUUAAUAAAAUUUGGUUUAAUAUUUUAAUAUUUAGUUAUUUUAAAUUUUAAGAAGUUCAUUUUAUUUAAAUAUUUUAUAAAUUUGUUUCAAAUAAGGUUUUUCAUCCUCACACAUCUUCUUCAUAGACACACAUUUUCUUUAUCCACACAUUUUUUUUUUCAUUUAUAUUUAUCUACUUCAUUCAUGUUCAUUUCUUUCCUCCACCACAAAAAAUAUUUUUUUAUUUUAUACUUUAUUUUGUUGAAGAUGAAGGUGUUUAAUUAUAAAAAAAAAAUUAAAAUUUUGUCACAUGUUGGUCAAAUCCACUUAAUUUAAAUUAAUAUUAACAUUAAAAUAAAAAAACAUCAGUAUUGACUUGAUCGCCAUUAAAUUGUUUUAACUAAAAAUUCAAUUUAUAAUUUAAUACUAAAUUAACAUCAAUUUAAAUUUAGUCAAACCUAGAAUUGGUCUUAAAAAGCCAAUACUAAUAAUGGUUUUAAAAUCAUACACACAUUUAACCCAAAUUUAAUGAUUUUGAUUAAUUAAUAUCAGUAUUUAUUUGUUAGUAAUGAUUAACCUAACACUAAAUAUUAAUUUUGUUAUAGUACCGUUAAAUUUCUAUUUUCUUGUUGUAGUGCAUGAAUUUAAAUGAAAUAGUAAAUAUAUUCGCAACUUACUACUUAAUGUAACAUUUAAAAGGGAAAUGGACUAAAAUCAUACUGUAAAGAUGAAAUUUGCAAAUUACAUACUUUUUAAAAGAUUAGAACACCUCAAUUAUUCCAAUUUUGUUAUAAAUAUAUACUGCUGAUAAAAAAUAUAACUCAAUCAUACUACUUUAUAAAUUAUUAAUUGGUUUAUCUAAUCUUUUUAGAGUUUGGAGUUAUUUUACAAACUUUUACCAAGGAAAAUUAUACUAUUUUAAACAUGUCAAUUAAAGUAAUUUGCACACAAAUUAAACUAAUAGAAAGUUUGUUAUAACAAUUACUAAAAAAUUAUUUAAAUGUAUCCUUUAUUAAAGAAUAUUACGCCUAAUAACUUGUAUAAACAUAAUGAUUUAUUUUUUAAAAAUACAAAACAAUCAAGAACCUCAAACUGAUAGGUCCCUCAAAACAAGGAUAAGAUGAGAGAAUGUCUGGGUAGAGUACGAGGAGGAGUAAACACUUAUCCAAACGAACUUUAUCAUGGUUUUUUCUUUUGGCCUUUUAUUUAGAAUUUUCUAGUAGAAAAAAACUUUUUUAUUGGGAAAAUAUUAUGUUAAUUUUGUACGUAAAUUUCGUAUGUAAAAUGCCAAUUGUUUUACGUACAGACAAAUUUAUUUAUACCUAUAGAUCAAUUCCUUCAAAAUUAUUCAUGUGUCAUGGUGUUCAAUUUUCUACUGAUUUGUUCUACGGAUAUUGGGUGGAAAAUUAAUUUGUAUUUGCUUAUGAAUAAAUCAGUAGAUAGUUCAAAUUUAUACACAUAUUUAAAUCGGUACAUAAAUAUCCCCAGGUAAACAACAUAUUUUAUCUAUAGAUCCUAAUCUAUGUGUAAAAAAACUUAGGUAAUUGUACUAGUGAUUA